RNAcentral lists this ribosomal RNA (253 nucleotides) under uncultured bacterium. RNAcentral describes it as "partial 16S ribosomal RNA". It matches the Rfam family "Bacterial small subunit ribosomal RNA", at positions 524 to 776 of the family's 1533-position model. The record is from RNAcentral.
UACGUAGGUGGCAAGCGUUGUCCGGAUUUACUGGGCGUAAAGCGUGCGCAGGCGGUUUGGUCAGUCGCUGGUGAAAGCCCCACGCUCAACGUGGGAAUGGCCAACGAGACGGCCCGACUGGAGGCAGGGAGAGGCCGGUGGAAUUCCGGGUGUAGUGGUGAAAUGCGUAGAGAUCCGGAGGAACACCAGAGGCGAAGGCGGCCGGCUGGACCUGACCUGACGCUGAGGCACGAAGGCGUGGGGAGCGAACGGG